UCACCAAUGCACUUUUGGAAGAAUGGUGGAAGAUUCCUAUAAACACACUCCGCGACCUUGUGGACAGCCUUCCCAGAAGAGUUGAAGCUAUAAUAGCUGCAAAAGGAGGGCACCAAAGCCAACAAUGUGAUGACGACCAUAGAAGAGCUGUGCCUGAGCGAGCAGUAACUUUCCAUUCGCCGUACAUUUUCCACCCGUCAUCAGAGUAGAGCGUUAAUUUAACCGGAAGUGCGAUGUAAGAUGGCGACUCAUGGCUGCUGACGCUGGUCUCCUUGCCUUCAGCGGCUCCGCCUGGCCGGGCCCCGAGGGAUUUAUUCGCCAUGGGAUUUGGUAGACAAGACGCCGCUUCACCCUCCAAAAAAAUGUCUUAAAAUGACUGCUGAAGAAAGACCAGUGUGAAGAGAAGAAGAAGCAGUUCUGUGAAGGGGACAUCAGGUAGCAUGCUGUAAUUCAGCGUUGAAGACACGAGGCUGCUGGUGUUCAAAAGCAAUUUAUCCUGGUGUGAUCCCGCGGAGGUUCCUGUGGCAGACGUGACAUAUCGAGGUUGGCAGGCUGUGAACUGCAAAAAGCCUUCUUAGAAAAGCUGUGGCUGACCUUCAGUACAGAACAACAUCCUGCAGGAGGCCACUGAGCCAGUAGGUCCAGGUCAAGCAUGGUGCUAUCUGCAGCAGUUACAGCACUGCAAUGCCUAUCUGGGAAAAGUUACUUCCCCAUUACGUGCCUGGCAGGUGUCUUCAAAGGAUGGAGACCUAAAGCCCUCUUGCAGCCUUCUCAUUGGCCUUCCACUACCUGAAGCACCUCCCCCUAUUGGUCCACUUCAAGGGUCUUUAUUAAAGCAGAGAAAAGAGAUGGG
Long non-coding RNA from Nerophis lumbriciformis (worm pipefish), 853 nucleotides. RefSeq lists it as uncharacterized. NCBI's taxonomy places the organism in Eukaryota, Metazoa, Chordata, Actinopteri, Syngnathiformes, Syngnathidae. The record is from RefSeq and is a predicted model, not a curated record.